Peromyscus eremicus (cactus mouse) is the source of this 1263-nucleotide long non-coding RNA. RefSeq lists it as uncharacterized. The record is from RefSeq and is a predicted model, not a curated record. The transcript is spliced from 3 exons. Lineage: Eukaryota; Metazoa; Chordata; Mammalia; Rodentia; Cricetidae.
UGUGAGUAAACAAAGGGCACAGGCAGUAUGACACUCAGACACAGACCGCCCAGCUGCUCUUUGCCAAGGCCCUGCCAGCCAAGGUGCCCAGCUCUCUCUUGUUUCUCAAGAGGCUUUUGACUCUAGUAAGCUGUCUUUUUAUUCGCAUGUUUUCCAGGACUCAAAGGCACACUAAAGGCAGUUUCGGGAGGGAAAAUAAGGUUGUCCCUCAAGUUUCAUCAAGACCCACAGAGGAAGGCUGUGUGGCUCUCUGAUGGUGGGGGGGGGGCACCCGCAGGCACCAUUUUGUCCCUCCCUGUGUGAGUCUACUCGCUAAAGGUGGUUUCUGGACCCUUUGCUCCAACACAGACACACCCUCCUGUUCCAUUUGUGCAUAUAGCCUGGAGUGGGUGGGGAACAGAUGAGCGAAUACAUGACCCUGUAUAAUAAACACUGAGACAGAAUGGUCCCAAAGCCGCCUUCCUAGGAGACACUGACUGGCUGAGCUGCUGUGGGAGCUCAGAGAAAGGACCUCUCAGGACGCUGGCACAAAGAUCUGGACACAGAGGCUGCUGACUUGCCCUGGUCACCUGACCUGGGCGUGGCAGGGCUGGAGCUCAAACCUCGUUCUGAUCACAAACCACCUCAUACUGUUGGGAUAAGGAACCCAGGCUGGAGGAGGAAUGGCCCAGCUCUGGAGAGGAGCCUGUCCCAGCAUGAGGUGCAGUGACUGUUUAGAUAGAAAGCUGCAGCCCACACAGAAGCACCCAGAGGCAGUGGGUCUCGGGAAUGAAUAGACGGGUUACUCACUUUGAAAAACUAACUUCCUAUUUUGAAAACAAUCACACAUGAAUUAUUCAUCGCAAAGUCCUCCUGCUUAGUCCUUUCACAAAAAACAUAUGCAAUGGAGAGGAAGAAAAUGUCUGCAGGCAAAUGUUUCCCAGCCUGGAGGGUUGUGAAGAACCAGGGAGGCGAGGGAGCCUUCCACAGCCUGUCCACUGGGCUGGGUGCGCAGUUCCCUGGGGGCACAGAGCACCACAGAGCAAGCCUGGCCUCGCUGGCAAGCUUUGUGGAGAAGACUGAACUCCCCCAAGGCACCCCGCACGCCUCUCAUCUGCAAUGAACACAAUCCAGAAGACGUCUCCUCAACACCUGCCAGCAACUCACAGGCAGCAGGGCUUAGCCACAGCCUGGUGAACAGACAGAACACCCUUUAUCCAGCCAAACCCUGGCUUCUCUGGGAGACACUCUCCUGAAAGUCCACUGAAGAGCAACAAACCAGUA